This 293-nucleotide ribosomal RNA is filed under the name Leeuwenhoekiella marinoflava DSM 3653. Its description in RNAcentral is "16S rRNA. Bacterial SSU". It matches the Rfam family "Bacterial small subunit ribosomal RNA", at positions 1141 to 1433 of the family's 1533-position model. Lineage: Bacteria; Pseudomonadati; Bacteroidota; Flavobacteriia; Flavobacteriales; Flavobacteriaceae. The record is from RNAcentral.
UAGCCAGACUGCCAGUGCAAACUGCGAGGAAGGUGGGGAUGACGUCAAAUCAUCACGGCCCUUACGUCCUGGGCCACACACGUGCUACAAUGGUAGGUACAGAGAGCAGCCACUUUGCAAAGAGGAGCGAAUCUAUAAAACCUAUCACAGUUCGGAUCGGGGUCUGCAACUCGACCCCGUGAAGCUGGAAUCGCUAGUAAUCGCAUAUCAGCCAUGAUGCGGUGAAUACGUUCCCGGGCCUUGUACACACCGCCCGUCAAGCCAUGGAAGCUGGGGGUACCUGAAGUCCGUCA